Molecule: ribosomal RNA, 2888 nt
Filed under: Streptococcus dysgalactiae subsp. equisimilis
Lineage: Bacteria; Bacillati; Bacillota; Bacilli; Lactobacillales; Streptococcaceae
Description: 23S ribosomal RNA
Rfam family: Bacterial large subunit ribosomal RNA
Source: RNAcentral
UCAAGUGAAGAAGCGCAUACGGUGGAUGCCUUGGCAGUCAGAGGCGAUGAAAGACGUGGUAGCCUGCGAUAAGCUUCGGGGAGUCGGCAAACAGACUUUGAUCCGGAGAUCUCUGAAUGGGGAACCCACCUAGGAUAACCUAGGUAUCUUGUACUGAAUCCAUAGGUGCAAGAGGCGAACCAGGGGAACUGAAACAUCUAAGUACCCUGAGGAAAAGAAAUCAACCGAGAUUCCCUUAGUAGUGGCGAGCGAACGGGGAUUAGCCCUUAAGCUUCAUUGAUUUUAGCGGAACGCUCUGGAAAGUGCGGCCAUAGUGGGUGAUAGCCCCGUACGCGAAAGGAUCUUUGAAGUGAAAUCGAGUAGGACGGAGCACGAGAAACUUUGUCUGAACAUGGGGGGACCAUCCUCCAAGGCUAAAUACUACUGACUGACCGAUAGUGAACCAGUACCGUGAGGGAAAGGCGAAAAGAACCCCGGAGAGGGGAGUGAAAUAGAACCUGAAACCGUAUGCGUACAAGCAGUGGGAGCCUACUUGUUAGGUGACUGCGUACCUUUUGUAUAAUGGGUCAGCGACUUAUAUUCAGUGGCGAGCUUAACCGAAUAGGGUAGGCGUAGCGAAAGCGAGUCUUAAUAGGGCGUUUAGUCGCUGGGUAUAGACCCGAAACCGGGCGAUCUAUCCAUGAGCAGGUUGAAGGUUAGGUAACACUGACUGGAGGACCGAACCCACUCCCGUUGAAAAGGUAGGGGAUGACUUGUGGAUCGGAGUGAAAGGCUAAUCAAGCUCGGAGAUAGCUGGUUCUCCUCGAAAGCUAUUUAGGUAGCGCCUCAUGUAUCACUCUGGGGGGUAGAGCACUGUUUCGGCUAGGGGGUCAUCCCGACUUACCAAACCGAUGCAAACUCCGAAUACCCAGAAGUGCCGAGCAUGGGAGACACACGGCGGGUGCUAACGUCCGUCGUGAAAAGGGAAACAACCCAGACCGCCAGCUAAGGUCCCAAAGUUGUGGUUAAGUGGUAAACGAUGUGGGAAGGCUUAGACAGCUAGGAGGUUGGCUUAGAAGCAGCCAUCCUUUAAAGAAAGCGUAAUAGCUCACUAGUCGAGUCGGCCUGCGCGGAAGAUGUAACGGGGCUCAAACCACACACCGAAGCUGCGGGUGUCACGUAAGUGACGCGGUAGAGGAGCGUUCUGUAAGCCUGUGAAGGUGAGUUGAGAAGCUUGCUGGAGGUAUCAGAAGUGCGAAUGCUGACAUGAGUAACGACAAUGGGUGUGAAAAACACCCACGCCGAAAGACCAAGGGUUCCUGCGCAACGUUAAUCGACGCAGGGUUAGUCGGUUCCUAAGGCGAGGCUGAAAAGCGUAGUCGAUGGGAAACAGGUUAAUAUUCCUGUACUUCUGGUUACUGCGAUGGAGGGACGGAGAAGGCUAGGCCAGCUUGGCGUUGGUUGUCCAAGUUUAAGGUGGUAGGCUGAAAUCUUAGGUAAAUCCGGGGUUUCAAGGCCGAGAGCUGAUGACGAGUCGUCUUUUAGAUGACGAAGUGGUUGAUGCCAUGCUUCCAAGAAAAGCUUCUAAGCUUCAGGUAACCAGGAACCGUACCCCAAACCGACACAGGUGGUCGGGUAGAGAAUACCAAGGCGCUUGAGAGAACUCGGGUGAAGGAACUAGGCAAAAUGGCACCGUAACUUCGGGAGAAGGUGCGCCGGCUAGGGUGAAGGAUUUACUCCGUAAGCUCUGGCUGGUCGAAGAUACCAGGCCGCUGCGACUGUUUAUUAAAAACACAGCACUCUGCAAACACGAAAGUGGACGUAUAGGGUGUGACGCCUGCCCGGUGCCGGAAGGUUAAUUGAUGGGGUUAGCGCAAGCGAAGCUCUUGAUCGAAGCCCCGGUAAACGGCGGCCGUAACUAUAACGGUCCUAAGGUAGCGAAAUUCCUUGUCGGGUAAGUUCCGACCUGCACGAAUGGCGUAACGAUGGCGGCGCUGUCUCCACCCGAGACUCAGUGAAAUUGAAAUCGCUGUGAAGAUGCAGUGUAUCCGCGGCUAGACGGAAAGACCCCGUGAACCUUUACUGUAGCUUUGCACUGGACUUUGAGCCUGCUUGUGUAGGAUAGGUGGGAGGCUUUGAAGCGUGGACGCCAGUUCGCGUGGAGCCAUCCUUGAAAUACCACCCUGGCAUGCUUGAGGUUCUAACUCUGGUCCGUGAUCCGGAUCGAGGACAGUGUAUGGUGGGCAGUUUGACUGGGGCGGUCUCCUCCUAAAGAGUAACGGAGGAGUACGAAGGUGCGCUCAGACCGGUCGGAAAUCGGUCGCAGAGUAUAAAGGCAAAAGCGCGCUUGACUGCGAGACAGACACGUCGAGCAGGUACGAAAGUAGGUCUUAGUGAUCCGGUGGUUCUGUAUGGAAGGGCCAUCGCUCAACGGAUAAAAGGUACUCCGGGGAUAACAGGCUGAUACCGCCCAAGAGUUCAUAUCGACGGCGGUGUUUGGCACCUCGAUGUCGGCUCAUCACAUCCUGGGGCUGAAGCCGGUCCCAAGGGUAUGGCUGUUCGCCAUUUAAAGUGGUACGCGAGCUGGGUUUAGAACGUCGUGAGACAGUUCGGUCCCUAUCUGCCGUGGACGUUUGAGAUUUGAGAGGGGCUGCUCCUAGUACGAGAGGACCGGAGUGGACGAACCUCUGGUGUUCCGGUUGUCACGCCAGUGGCAUUGCCGGGUAGCUAUGUUCGGAAAAGAUAACCGCUGAAAGCAUCUAAGCGGGAAACUUGCCUCAAGAUGAGAUCUCACUGGGAACUUGAUUCCCCUGAAGGGCCGUCGAAGACUACGACGUUGAUAGGCUGGGUGUGUAAGCGUUGUGAGGCGUUGAGCUAACCAGUACUAAUUGCCCGUGAGGCUUGACCAU